CGGUGCAAUUUAUAUGAUUCUACAAUUAAAGCUGAUAGGUGAUAAGUGGAUUUUACAUCCACUUGGAAGCCUUCAUUUAUGCUUAAAUUGAUGGAUCGUUCUCAAGUAUGUGGUAUUUUUUAUGUGUUUUUGUGUUGAUGUGUGUAGAGAACCUAGAUGGAGGGAGGAUGGACUUUUCCAGGCUUAUACGGUGAAUUGGAAGUCGAGAAAUAAAGCGAAAAGAAAGAAAAUCACCAGCGCCCUAAAGCGGCUGAGCUGCGCCCUGGGGGCAGCCUUGGAGCGCGCCCGAGCUCUCCCGAAGAUGGAAAAUUCAGUUUUUGAAGCCCGUUUAGAUUAGCUGCUGACCCGGUCAACUUAGGGCACUUAAAUACAAAAUAUACAAGGAAGAAAAAGCCCGAAGCAAUAACCAAGAUUCAUUCCAAGGAGCACGUGACGGCUACGGAGAAGAGCUAGAUUCAUAGUUUUCUUUUGUGUUCUUCCAAUUAGGCGAUACUUUUGGAUGCUCAUUCGGAUUUGUUUCGAAACUCUUGUUUUACUCUUUUGACUUUGUGUUUCCUAUUCAGUACCAUGUUUACAUUCGAACCCAUGAUGAUGAGAAGUUCGAUUAUGAACUAAUCAUUGUCAUGGGAUUUUAGCGGAUUUAUCGAUGAAUUUCAGUAGUUAAUUUGUCUUGUUCAUAUGUGAUGGUUUGAUUUCCUCGUAUUGGUUGUGCUUAUUCGUCUUGGAUGCGUAGCUAACAUCUAAGAUUGCUUGUUAAUCUUUAUUGAAGCGACAGUGAAUAUAUUGAUUUAGAACUUGCCAUGCGAGCAUAGGUUUCGUGUUCGAUAACAUGACUUGUGAUGUGAUUUUACCCAUCUUGCAUCGCCCUAUGUAAUCUUGAUAGAUAACUUGCUCUUCAACCGUUAUGUUUUCAAAUUCUAUAGACAUAUAGGGUCUAAGCAUAAUUGGUGUCUGUUUACCUUCUAUCUUAAUUGUGGAUGUGUAGCAGUAUGGUGCACGUAUAACGACAAUUAGCGUGUAUCAGUCUCGUGUUAUCUGAUUAGCUAUCAACCAUUACAAUCGAAUAAAGGCAUAACUCUGAAUGAAGUUGUUAAUGAAGCUAGAAUCCCAUGUUUUAUUUUUAUUAGUAAAUCGUUAUUCUCUUAGUUUAUAAUUCUUAGUUUCAUAAUUCAAUUCGAAUUAGUUAAGUAGAAAACCAAAACCCAAUUGGAUACUUGUCUAAGCAUUGAAUAAUAAUCAUACAUUGGUGCAUAAGUGCAUAUUUCUUGAAUACACCAGUCUCUGUGGGAACGAACUGAAUUAUAUUCUAUACUACUUGUGACCACGUACGCUUGCGUGAUUUUGUGCGAACAAUAGGAAAUAUUUAUCUUGGAUUAAAAAAAAUCAUAAACAUGUGAAAGACAGAAUUUGUUUUGGAUUCAGAAAAACAAUUAUAAACAUGCAUAUCAGUUGCCUUAUAGAAUUAGAAGUUAAUUUUGUUCUAAUCUAACGGUACUUAUUUGUUCAAUAUACGAUCCAACGGAUGAUAAGCUUUUGGACCAUGUGACCAUGCGACCAAAUUAUCUCCCUUACGCUUAUUAUAUAUAAGUAUAUAAU
RNAcentral lists this long non-coding RNA (1596 nucleotides) under Daucus carota (carrot). RNAcentral's name for it is "long non-coding RNA (DCAR_LNC001617)". Lineage: Eukaryota; Viridiplantae; Streptophyta; Magnoliopsida; Apiales; Apiaceae. The record is from RNAcentral.